Molecule: RNase P RNA, 387 nt
Filed under: Actinomycetes bacterium
Lineage: Bacteria; Bacillati; Actinomycetota; Actinomycetes
Also listed under: 1 other name
Description: Actinobacteria bacterium (groundwater metagenome) RNase P RNA component class A
Rfam family: Bacterial RNase P class A
About the family: Ribonuclease P (RNase P) is a ubiquitous endoribonuclease, found in archaea, bacteria and eukarya as well as chloroplasts and mitochondria. Its best characterised activity is the generation of mature 5'-ends of tRNAs by cleaving the 5'-leader elements of precursor-tRNAs.
Source: RNAcentral
AUAGCCGGACGGGUGGUCGCGGGGCCAUUAGGCCUUGAGGAAAGUCCGGACUCCACAGGGCAGGGUGCUGGAUAACGUCCAGGCGGGGCGACCCGACGGAAAGCGCCACAGAAAAGGAAAUACCAGCCACCCGGGCCUGGAAACGGGUCUCGUGGUGAGCGGGUCAAGCUGAAACGGUGGUGUAAGAGACCACCAGCGGUCCGGUAACGGGCCGGCUUGGCAAGCCCCACCCGGAGCGAUGCCAAAUAGGGGAGGACGCGGUGGCCCGCCGCGCUAUAACUCCCGGGUAGGCAGCACGAGGCCCGCGGUAACGCGGGUCCCAGAUAGAUGGCCACCACCACCCUUUCGGGGGUGGUACAGAAUCCGGCUUACAGGCCGGCUAUCCCC